GAACGCUAGCGGCAGGCUUAACACAUGCAAGUCGAGGGCAUCGAGAGAGUAGCAAUACUUUUGUCGGCGACCGGCGGACGGGUGCGUAACGCGUAUGCAACCUACCUUAUACAGGGGGAUAACCUUUCGAAAGGGAGACUAAUACCGCAUAACAUUACUUUGAGGCAUCUUGAGGUAAUUAAAUCUUCGGAGGUAUAAGAUGGGCAUGCGUAGCAUUAGCUAGAUGGUGCGGUAACGGCGUACCAUGGCGACGAUGCUUAGGGGUUCUGAGAGGAAGGUCCCCCACACUGGUACUGAGAUACGGACCAGACUCCUACGGGAGGCAGCAGUGAGGAAUAUUGGUCAAUGGUCGAGAGACUGAACCAGCCAUGCCGCGUGAAGGUCACGGCCCUAUGGGUCUUAAACUUCUUUUGCAAGGGAGCAAUAAGUCCCACGUGUGGGAUGAUGAGAGUACCUUGCGAAUAAGCAUCGGCUAACUCCGUG
Molecule: ribosomal RNA, 483 nt
Filed under: uncultured bacterium
Lineage: Bacteria
Description: bacterial SSU rRNA
Rfam family: Bacterial small subunit ribosomal RNA
Source: RNAcentral